CAUGAGAUUGUGGGAGCUAUACAAUCUAGUUGCUAUACUUGUGGAGUUCGACAUGGACUCACUCUUGCUAUCUCCCCCACCCUUCAGGAGAAGUUUAGGCUUGCGAUCAACCAGUCAGUUGGAUCCGGUAGAGUGAAGUUAAUACCCGAAGUUUGGAGUUGUUUAUCCGAUGUUUGCUAUCAAAGGUUAUCUCUUUUAUACUAAGUGCGUUAUAUUUUUUUGCAUUGUCUUUUGAUAUUACCCCUUAUUUGUAGCUAUAUGUGAGAUUUAACCUCUAAGACUCACAUAUGGUGCAUAUCUGGUUUUGUCCUUAAAAUCGGGUAUUACAAAGUGGUAUCAGAGCAAUGCUGACUGUAGGACGCAAGCCUAGUUAGAAAUUGGUCGUCUUAAGGUUUUGAAAUUGCUAUAAAAUUCUUGCUCUACAAACCUUGGUAUUUUCGUCUAUACUAUAUCUCUAUCCUUGCUAUUUGUCUCUACCUUGUUGCUUAGUUUAAAAGUACUUGUUCUCAUCUUCACUCCUUGAUUUGAUAUGCUUUUAGAACUUUUUCUUACCACCUUCUGGCAUCGUUGGAAUAGGUGUUUUAAGAUAUCUACCCUUACUAUGAAGAGAACGAUAGUAUCGCAAAUUGAGUGAAGUGUGCUUAGUUGGUUUGUUAUUAUGCUUAUGCUUGAUUUGGAUCUUUGUAAUGAUUGCAAUGAUCUUGUGGGAUUUCUCCACAAUUUCAUUAGUUUAUAGACCUAAGGCAUAAGGAUUAAUGAAAUAAGUAGUUGGGUUUGGCUAUCUCUUGUUCCUAUCCCUUGCUGAUUUCUGGAGCAGUCUGCGAUGAUUCUGGUGUACCUCAAGUUUUGAUCGUGCAAAGUAUAUCAACUUUUUCUGGGAACAACUAGACUUCAAGAUCUUUCUCUGACCGCAAGAAUCACCCCCAUAUCUAUUUUGGAAUUGGAGUUAUGAAAAUCACAAGUUGAUGCAGCUGCGCUGUCAAGAAUCUGUACCAGUUUCGGUUGCUUACUGUUUUAGACAUAUAUAACUAUAGAAUUUGGAAAAGUAUUCUAUAGAAAAUUUGUAGACAAUUUUCUAUUCUUUCCAACGGUAUAAGCUGGAACUUAUUUGGAUAAGUAGAACUUGAGAUUAUGAUACUUAUACUCGGAUGUUUCUGUUCUGCUUCAAAAUCUGGACAGAUCUGGUAUUUCUAAUUUUUCAGCCAAGUUAAAGACAGAAUCUGGGAAAACGUGGUAUACGAAACUUGUAGAGAAUUUCCCAACCUUUUCAAAAAUGUAAGGAUCAUCUCCAGAUGAGUUAAGGAGCUCUAGAUAUAACUUCUGGAAGUUACUGCACCUUUGCUGAGACAUUAUCAGGAAGGAGAUUAUGUUUGGUUGUUUUACCUAAGCUUAAAGACAGAACCUAAGGAGGUCUUCUACAUGAAAGUGGUAGAGAAUUUCAUAAGUUUUCUAACGGUAUAAGCUACAACUCUAUUGGAUUAACAUAAUAAGAGUUAUACUUGUUUUACUACGCUGGUGUUUUCAUAUCACGAGAAGAUUUCAGGAUACCUGUUUGUUCUCUUGCACCUAAGUUCUUUGGGAUGUCAGGAGUUCUCAAUGUUAGUUAACUUGUCUGAAAAACAUGCAAGCUACCUUUCUUGUGCCCUAGUUGACUUUUCAUAAGGGGGGUAGCCUAGUUAAAGAAGUUACAAGGAGAAUGAUUGGUUAAUGUUGGAUCAUAUGUUAGGAUCACAAAUGUUUGGUGAAUUUGGUUUUGUUCCAAGGUAUCAACCCACUUGGAGAAUAUAAUUGGAGGUUUAUGUCAUUACUGAUACUCACAGACUAAGAGUUGCGUAUGAAGAUCAGAUGAUACCAAAUUCUACAAAGCUUUAUGUACAAAGUGAGAGUGAACAACUUAACUGUGAUAAACUGUGAUAAAGGUACUAACAAUUGGAACUUAGUCAUGAAGCCAACCUUGGAUCAAGAGACUCGGUACAACAAAUUUUAAAGACUAUAUGAUGUGUAGCAUUUAAAAAGGUUAUGAGGACUAGUCCCUAAUGUCUCCCCAAUCAAUCUCAUCUUAAGGGGGUAGCCUAGAUAAGAAGGUUGCUAAAUGAAGGUUCCAUGCGUUCUAGUACCUUAGUUGGAAGUAUCUUUUAUGCCUCUGGAUGAGAAGUCAAUAUCAUGUGUAGGUAUUACCCUUGUUUGAGCUAUGAGUAAAAAAAAAACCUUAUCUAUACAAUGUGCACUACUGAACUCUUGGAAACAAUUGAGGGAGAUGUUCGGAGUGACGAAAGCAAUGGAAUGGCUACUAAGGAGCUACUCGAGGAAGUGAAUAAGGUUCAAAAGUGGAGUGUCCAUGUUUCUUUGAUCACCAUCUUUCGAAUCUCGAGGACGAGAUUCAUCUUAAGGGGGGUAGAAUUGUAACACCCUAAAAUUUGCUCCUUUCAAAAUAGAUGAAAAUCGAUUUAGUUUUGUAUUUUUUUUUUGUGCUCAUGAAAAUAUAGGAAAAAAAUAAUAUUUUUCAUUAGAUUAAAGUUUAUCAUAAGGCUUAGCAACAUGGUUGUGUAUACAUGCUGAUGCAUAUGAUUUUGGGUGAUGUCUGCUUAUUGCUCCUUUGUGUGUUGAUAGUAAGAAAAAUAUUUAAAAUACAUUUAGUAGAUCGAUCUUCCUUAUUCGUAUUUAUCUUUUUCUACAAUCAAAUUCCUUGUCUCUUAGCUCAAGAUUUCGGUCAGGGUCUCUCAGAAUCUUUUCUUUCAAACCUAAGUCACUCGUUUGAGUUUCUCGUCCAUUAAGCAAUAUCUACAAACUUCUCGGGUAUUUUUCUAGCCUUUUCUAUGAGCAUAAAUCUAAUUUUAGAUGCCCCAAAUUAUCUCAUCAUAAGCUCCAAAUACUUUAUUUGGAUUCCUCAUGUUCUAUAAUAUCUCUGAGAAUUUUUCCCAAAUUUUCGAAGCUUUCGGAGUAUUUUUCGUGGCUUAACUACUAAUUAUGAACUUUUCUAGAAUUAUUUUAUCCAUGAAAAUAAUUAAUUUCGAAAAUAAUAAUUUCUUCAUUUUACUCAAAUCCAACGUCAUCAUGAUUCAAAGACCAAAUGUUUUAUUUACUAAUGGGCUUUAAUAAUUAAUUAGGCCUAUUAGUAAAGAUGAAGGUUGCAAAUCAAUUAGUACCAUAUCGCUAGUUGACGUGGAGCUGUGGAGUUUCUCUCCCUAUAUAUUUGUACCAACCCUUAGGUUGAGCACACCAAAACUACCAUAUGAGGAGCCUCUAGUUUGGGAAAUCUCUCGUGUAGUAAAUUAAAUUUUUUUCAUCAGUCCUCGACCUCGGCUGCUCAUCUUGUCAAAGUCCAUCCUGUCUUCUUCAGCCAUGCCUAAUCAUCAACGUUACCCAUUCAUAAUUGAUCGUUGGUAAGCAUCUCAUGUUAUCCUUUCUCUCUGUUAAUUGCACCAUGCCCUGCUGUCACCAUUUAAUUUAACUCUGUGCUGCAGCCCACUAUCGCCUAACCGUUGCCCUUGCUGUAUUGUUUCUCGCCGGCGACCACCAGAGCCACGCCGUGUGUUUGCGCCUUCCAGCAAGUCAUGCAUGUUUGCCUAUGUGCUUCACUGGCUUGAUCAACACGUCAUCCGCACCUUGGUAUUAGUUCUUCUACAAUAUAUCAUUCUUUAUGCCUCCAUGCACUCAUUCAUGACAUUUAAUAUUCAGUCCAUCAAUCAUGAAUUAGCUUAUAAAAUUUCAUGUGCAGCAACGUAUUAUCUCUCCUUUACUUUGCCCCAUAAAUAAAUUCCUAAAGCUUUAAUCUCACGGUUUCCUUGUUUUAGCUAUAAUUCCAUCUCCUGAUGCUGCGUUAAGAUUGUAUCAACGUAGAUCAUGAGUUAGCCGCAAUAACCUCUCGUAUGUUAAUUUAUUAACUUGACUAGUGUGCAUGUAGCUGGUUUUUUUUAAUUUUAAAAAGCGACACAAGUGUUACCCUCUAGUAUUUUUAUAAUGCGAUUAAUUAAUUACCUUUCUAUAUAAAAUCUUAGAAAAUUCAUAUCUCCUCCGUUUUAGCUUCGAUUUUCGUGAUCUUUACGUCCGCGAGAUCGUAGCGCUGCGUAGAAUCUUUUUAUGAACUCUCUAUACUGUUUUUAUAUGAUUGGUGUACUGUUCUAAUUGUAGUCUUGUUUGCUUCGUGUAUGUUGUCUCUGAUUGUUUGUGUGUUGAUGAUCAAUGAUCGAGUUUAGUCGGUAAACAAUUCAUGGUGAACAAGAGUACUUCAGUGAUCAAGAUCUGAGCCUUGGACAACUAGUGAGACCAGCAGGAUAAGCAAGAGCAAUUGGAUUAAGGCAAGUAUAGUAUUUGGGUUUUAUUUCUGUGACCAUGAUCCUGUGACUAGAUUAAUGUUAAGUAAUAAAUGAUAAAAAUGACUUUUUAGCCACUUGAUGAUUUGUCUGUACGUGAUCACCCGGGACAACAGUGCAACCAUGAGGGCUAUAAUGGCUCUGGCUUUAGCUCAGUAUGAAGACCUUUUCUAGCUUGUUAGAGGUUACCCGAAAGGGCGGAGGGGCUGAACCGUUUUGGGUAUAGUGUGGCCUCUGUCUGUAUGUGUAUAGGCUGCGCGUCAUUGUGCCAUCGGAAGGGGGGCUCUAUAUCUGCGCGCAAAGGAAACCUUGCGGCCCUAACAUGUUAGACGAACUUUUGAAAGGCUUCAUAGUGAUCCCUGCCGACCUUCCUUGGUAGUGGGUUAAGAGGUCGACGGGCCUCGGGCGAAAGGGUAAAUCAUGACUCAUGGGUAAAGAUGUACAACCUCUGCAGAGUGUUAAAACUAGUAUACUAGCCGAGCUCACGGUCAGGAGCGGCCUUGGGGACAUCUACAUUAAGGGUGAUGAAUCUUGUGUGUUAAAUAUGCUCAUUGUUUAUUGUUUAAUGCUUUACAUUAUUUAUGUCACAUUGAUCAUGAGAUUGUGGGAGCUAUACAAUCUAGUUGCUAUACUUGUGGAGUUCGACAUGGACUCACUCUUGCUAUCUCCCCCACCCUUCAGGAGAAGUUUAGGCUUGCGAUCAACCAGUCAGUUGGAUCCGGUAGAGUGAAGUUAAUACCCGAAGUUUGGAGUUGUUUAUCCGAUGUUUGCUAUCAAAGGUUAUCUCUUUUAUACUAAGUGCGUUAUAUUUUUUUGCAUUGUCUUUUGAUAUUACCCCUUAUUUGUAGCUAUAUGUGAG
This 5172-nucleotide long non-coding RNA is filed under the name Sorghum bicolor (sorghum). Its description in RNAcentral is "long non-coding RNA (SBIC_LNC004707)". Lineage: Eukaryota; Viridiplantae; Streptophyta; Magnoliopsida; Poales; Poaceae. The record is from RNAcentral.